AUUGAACGCUGGCGGCAGGCCUAACACAUGCAAGUCGAGCGGAUGAAGGGAGCUUGCUCCUGGAUUCAGCGGCGGACGGGUGAGUAAUGCCUAGGAAUCUGCCUGGUAGUGGGGGAUAACGUCCGGAAACGGGCGCUAAUACCGCAUACGUCCUGAGGGAGAAAGUGGGGGAUCUUCGGACCUCACGCUAUCAUAUGAGCCUAGGUCGGAUUAGCUAGUUGGUGGGGUAAAGGCCUACCAAGGCGACGCUCCGUAACUGGUCUGAGAGGAUGAUCAGGCACACGGGAACUGAGACACGGCCCAGACUCCUACGGGAGGCAGCAGUGGGGAAUAUUGGACAAUGGGGGAAAGCCUGAUCCAGCCAUGCCGCGUGUGUGAAGAAGGUCUUCGGAUUGUAAAGCACUUUAAGUUGGGAGGAAGGGCAGUAAGUUAAUACCUUGCUGUUUUGACGGUACCAACAGAAUAAGCACCGGCUAACUUCGUG
This 484-nucleotide ribosomal RNA is filed under the name uncultured bacterium. Its description in RNAcentral is "partial 16S ribosomal RNA". It matches the Rfam family "Bacterial small subunit ribosomal RNA", at positions 30 to 507 of the family's 1533-position model. The record is from RNAcentral.